GAUUAAGUUAUUAAGGGCGCACGGUGGAUGCCUUGGCACUAGAAGCCGAAGAAGGACGUUACUAACGACGAUAUGCUUUGGGGAGCUGUAAGUACGCUUUGAUCCAGAGAUUUCCGAAUGGGGAAACCCAGCAUGAGUUAUGUCAUGUUAUCCGCAUAUGAAUACAUAGUAUGUGAGAAGGCACACCCGGAGAACUGAAACAUCUUAGUACCCGGAGGAAGAGAAAGAAAACUCGAUUCCCUGAGUAGCGGCGAGCGAAACGGGAAGAGCCCAAACCAAUAGGCUUGCCUAUUGGGGUUGUAGGACACUCAAUACGGAGUUACAAAGGAAAUGAUUAGACGAAUGGUUUUGGAAAAGCCAACCAUAGAAGGUAAAGGUCCUGUAGUCGAAAGUCAUUUCUCUCCUGAGUGGAUCCUGAGUACGGCGGAACACGUGAAAUUCCGUCGGAAUCUGGGAGGACCAUCUCCCAAGGCUAAAUACUCUCUAGUGACCGAUAGUGAACCAGUACCGUGAGGGAAAGGUGAAAAGCACCCCGGAAGGGGAGUGAAAUAGAACCUGAAACCGUGUGCUUACAAAUAGUCAGAGCCCGUUAAUGGGUGAUGGCGUGCCUUUUGUAGAAUGAACCGGCGAGUUACGAUUUGAUGCAAGGUUAAGCAGUAAAUGUGGAGCCGUAGCGAAAGCGAGUCUGAAUAGGGCGAAUGAGUAUCUGGUCGUAGACCCGAAACCAAGUGAUCUACCCAUGUCCAGGUUGAAGUUCAGGUAACACUGAAUGGAGGACCGAACCGACUUACGUUGAAAAGUGAGCGGAUGAGGUGUGGGUAGCGGAGAAAUUCCAAUCGAACUUGGAGAUAGCUGGUUCUCUCCGAAAUAGCUUUAGGGCUAGCCUCAAGUGAUGAUUAUUGGAGGUAGAGCACUGUUUGGACGAGGGGCCCCUCUCGGGUUACCGAAUUCAGACAAACUCCGAAUGCCAAAUAAUUUAACUUGGGAGUCAGACUAUGGGUGAUAAGGUCCGUAGUCGAAAGGGAAACAGCCCAGACCACCAGCUAAGGUCCCAAAAUAUAUGUUAAGUGGAAAAGGAUGUGGCGUUGCCCAGACAACUAGGAUGUUGGCUUAGAAGCAGCCAUCAUUUAAAGAGUGCGUAAUAGCUCACUAGUCGAGUGACACUGCGCCGAAAAUGUACCGGGGCUAAACAUAUUACCGAAGCUGUGGAUUAUCCGUAAGGAUAAUGGUAGGAGAGCGUUCUAAACGUGUUGAAGCAUGAUCGUAAGGACAUGUGGAAUGUUUAGAAGUGAGAAUGCCGGUGUGAGUAGCGAAAGAUGGGUGAGAAUCCCAUCCACCGAUUGACUAAGGUUUCCAGAGGAAGGCUCGUCCGCUCUGGGUUAGUCGGGACCUAAGCCGAGGCCGAUAGGCGUAGGCGAUGGAUAACAGGUAGAUAUUCCUGUACCACCUAUGAUUGUUUGAACGAUGGGGGGACGCAGUAGGAUAGGCGAAGCGUGCUGUUGGAGUGCACGUCCAAGCAAU
RNAcentral lists this ribosomal RNA (1521 nucleotides) under Mammaliicoccus sciuri. RNAcentral's name for it is "partial 23S ribosomal RNA". It matches the Rfam family "Bacterial large subunit ribosomal RNA", at positions 1 to 1520 of the family's 2925-position model. The record is from RNAcentral. Lineage: Bacteria; Bacillati; Bacillota; Bacilli; Caryophanales; Staphylococcaceae.